GUUCCUCCAUACUUUUUAGAGGAUUCAACCAACGAUGCCGCUAAAUGCAAUCUUUGAAUGAAACUAUAUCUCAAGAUCAACUUGACUUGCCAGACAGCAGGAAGCCCAUUUUGAACCGGUAGUACUGGUCUCCAAUGAGGCCGAGUGGUUCCAUCUCUUUCUUGGCUAGGAGUGAACCUGAAGCUGAUAAGUCAUCUUGCAUUCCUGGCGACUCUCAUGUUCGAUCUGAACUACCCUUAAAAACUGGGUUGAAGCAGAAACUGGUGACCAACCUUUUUGAGAGGAAGGCAGAAUGACAUUUGGGGUUACUGCUGCAGAAAGCCAAAUGGCACAGAAACAUAUUAUCAAGGAGCCUGGAAAAGAUGGUCAUGAAUUGUUGCAAAGCUUGGCCCAUGGUUCUUUACCCCUGGUUCUUCAAAAUCAUCUGCUAAUAAAUUUCCUGCUUGGUUGGAUGCUGCAAUCUAUGGUCCCAGAACAUUUUCAUUAGAAAGUGGUUCUUCGACUGAAAAGGUAUACAUGUUCAA
This is a long non-coding RNA of Hibiscus syriacus, 524 nucleotides long. RefSeq lists it as uncharacterized. Lineage: Eukaryota; Viridiplantae; Streptophyta; Magnoliopsida; Malvales; Malvaceae. The record is from RefSeq and is a predicted model, not a curated record. The transcript is spliced from 5 exons.